RNAcentral lists this long non-coding RNA (1262 nucleotides) under Nicotiana benthamiana. Its description in RNAcentral is "long non-coding RNA (NBEN_LNC020068)". The record is from RNAcentral. Lineage: Eukaryota; Viridiplantae; Streptophyta; Magnoliopsida; Solanales; Solanaceae.
AAUUAAUAUGGGUAUGCAUGCAGAGUUUGGAAUCAGAAAUAGGGCUCUCAGUUAGCAUAUUACCAGCAAAGUUAGCAGCAUACAUGGGAGGAGGAGUCAGAGGAGUGGAGUCCCUAACGGGGUCUGUUGUAAUAAGUUCAUCAAUUGAUCAUAAUGUUGUCUGCUCAACCCUGGUAUCACAGAACUCUGGCCAUCUAUUCUUGGAACAGAUUGAUGACUCUCAGGAGGAUUCCCUUGGGGAACAGACAUAUGUGCUUCAGAAUGAGGCAAAUCCACACCAGAAGUAAGAUGAGCAGCAGCAGGUCUCCUCCCCUUGUUAAAAUUUGUAUUUUGUGGAUACCCAUGGAUCUUGAAACACUUAUCAAUUAAGUGUCCUGGGCAUUAAAAGACACAGAGUCUGGAUUAAAGUGAGAAGGAGACUGCACUUGUCUUUGCUUCUCAUCAUUGAGGACCAAAUUAUAGACACUGUCAAGGGUUGGAGGUGGCUGCAUCAUCAAAAGGUUACUCCUUUCCCCCAUGUAUGCUUCAUUAAGGCCCAUUAGAAACUGAAAUACCUUAUUGUCAUCAUUUUCCUGUAUUAUACAAUCUUUAGCAGCACAAACACAUCUUUGGCCAUGAUUGACACACAUUGAUUCUAGUUCAUCCCAGAGACCUUUGAGUUUAUUAAAGUAUGAAGCUACAUCUAGGGACCCUUGAGAGGUUUGAGAAAGCUCUCUUUUCAAUUCAAAAAUUUUGGUCCUAUUUGCAGUGCCAUAUCUGGCCUGAAGUUGGGACCAUAUACUUUGUGCAGUAUCAGAAUACUGCACACUUUCAGCAAUUUGAGGGGAGAGGGAGGCCAUAUCUGGCCUGAAGUUGGGACCAUAUACUUUGUGCAGUAUCAGAAUACUGCACAGUUUCAGCAAUUUGAGGGGAGAGGGAGGCAGCUAACCAUGAAAUCACCAUAUUAUUGCACCUGUCCCAUAAGCUUUGUUGAUCCACAUUAGUGGCUGGCCGAGAACACGUGCCAUCAACAAAACUAAUUUUGUUUUUAGCAGAUAAGGCAACAAUCAUCUUUCUCCUCCAACCCCCAUAACCACUGCCCGAGAAGGGAGUGGAGACAAGAGAGACGCCAGGGACAUCAGAGGAGUAGACAAAAAGGGGGCUGGUAGAGUCUACCGAGGAGGUACCAACAGUCGUAUUAGAGGCCAUGAUUAAUGAACCAGCUUGAGAGAAAAAAAAACAGUUUCGACAAGCAAAGUAUAACGGUACCAGAUACUCACAUA